RNAcentral lists this ribosomal RNA (2927 nucleotides) under Klebsiella oxytoca. RNAcentral describes it as "23S ribosomal RNA". It matches the Rfam family "Bacterial large subunit ribosomal RNA". Lineage: Bacteria; Pseudomonadati; Pseudomonadota; Gammaproteobacteria; Enterobacterales; Enterobacteriaceae. The record is from RNAcentral.
GGGUUGUGAGGUUAAGCGACUAAGCGUACACGGUGGAUGCCCUGGCAGUCAGAGGCGAUGAAGGACGUGCUAAUCUGCGAAAAGCGUCGGUAAGGUGAUAUGAACCGUUACAGCCGGCGAUGUCCGAAUGGGGAAACCCAGUGCAAUUCGUUGCACUAUCGUUAACUGAAUACAUAGGUUAACGAGGCGAACCGGGGGAACUGAAACAUCUAAGUACCCCGAGGAAAAGAAAUCAACCGAGAUUCCCCCAGUAGCGGCGAGCGAACGGGGAGCAGCCCGGAGUCUGAAUCAGCUUGUGUGUUAGUGGAAGCGUCUGGAAAGUCGCAGGGUACAGGGUGAUACUCCCGUACACUAAAACACACAGGUUGUGAACUCGAAGAGUAGGGCGGGACACGUGGUAUCCUGUCUGAAUAUGGGGGGACCAUCCUCCAAGGCUAAAUACUCCUGACUGACCGAUAGUGAACCAGUACCGUGAGGGAAAGGCGAAAAGAACCCCGGCGAGGGGAGUGAAAAAGAACCUGAAACCGUGUACGUACAAGCAGUAGGAGCCCACUAGUUGGGUGACUGCGUACCUUUUGUAUAAUGGGUCAGCGACUUAUAUUCUGUAGCAAGGUUAACCGUAUAGGGGAGCCGCAGGGAAACCGAGUCUUAACUGGGCGUUAAGUUGCAGGGUAUAGACCCGAAACCCGGUGAUCUAGCCAUGGGCAGGUUGAAGGUUGGGUAACACUAACUGGAGGACCGAACCGACUAAUGUUGAAAAAUUAGCGGAUGACUUGUGGCUGGGGGUGAAAGGCCAAUCAAACCGGGAGAUAGCUGGUUCUCCCCGAAAGCUAUUUAGGUAGCGCCUCGUGAACUCAUCUUCGGGGGUAGAGCACUGUUUCGGCUAGGGGGUCAUCCCGACUUACCAACCCGAUGCAAACUACGAAUACCGAAGAAUGUUAUCACGGGAGACACACGGCGGGUGCUAACGUCCGUCGUGAAGAGGGAAACAACCCAGACCGCCAGCUAAGGUCCCAAAGUCAUGGUUAAGUGGGAAACGAUGUGGGAAGGCCCAGACAGCCAGGAUGUUGGCUUAGAAGCAGCCAUCAUUUAAAGAAAGCGUAAUAGCUCACUGGUCGAGUCGGCCUGCGCGGAAGAUGUAACGGGGCUAAACCAUGCACCGAAGCUGCGGCAGCGACACUAUGUGUUGUUGGGUAGGGGAGCGUUCUGUAAGCCGUUGAAGGUGGCCUGUGAGGGUUGCUGGAGGUAUCAGAAGUGCGAAUGCUGACAUAAGUAACGAUAAUGCGGGUGAAAAACCCGCACGCCGGAAGACCAAGGGUUCCUGUCCAACGUUAAUCGGGGCAGGGUGAGUCGACCCCUAAGGCGAGGCCGAAAGGCGUAGUCGAUGGGAAACAGGUUAAUAUUCCUGUACUCGGUGUUACUGCGAAGGGGGGACGGAGAAGGCUAUGUUGGCCGGGCGACGGUUGUCCCGGUUUAAGCAUGUAGGCGGAUGUUCCAGGUAAAUCCGGAACGUCACUAACGCUGAGGUGUGAUGACGAGGCACUACGGUGCUGAAGUGACAAAUGCCCUGCUUCCAGGAAAAGCCUCUAAGCAUCAGGUAACAUCAAAUCGUACCCCAAACCGACACAGGUGGUCAGGUAGAGAAUACCAAGGCGCUUGAGAGAACUCGGGUGAAGGAACUAGGCAAAAUGGUGCCGUAACUUCGGGAGAAGGCACGCUGAUGGUAGGUGAAGCGACUUGCUCGUGGAGCUGAAAUCAGUCGAAGAUACCAGCUGGCUGCAACUGUUUAUUAAAAACACAGCACUGUGCAAACACGAAAGUGGACGUAUACGGUGUGACGCCUGCCCGGUGCCGGAAGGUUAAUUGAUGGGGUUAUCCGUAAGGAGAAGCUCUUGAUCGAAGCCCCGGUAAACGGCGGCCGUAACUAUAACGGUCCUAAGGUAGCGAAAUUCCUUGUCGGGUAAGUUCCGACCUGCACGAAUGGCGUAAUGAUGGCCAGGCUGUCUCCACCCGAGACUCAGUGAAAUUGAACUCGCUGUGAAGAUGCAGUGUACCCGCGGCAAGACGGAAAGACCCCGUGAACCUUUACUAUAGCUUGACACUGAACACUGGUCCUUGAUGUGUAGGAUAGGUGGGAGGCUUUGAAGUGUGGACGCCAGUCUGCAUGGAGCCAUCCUUGAAAUACCACCCUUUAAUGGCUGGUGUUCUAACGUGGGCCCCUGAUCGGGGUUGCGGACAGUGUCUGGUGGGUAGUUUGACUGGGGCGGUCUCCUCCUAAAGAGUAACGGAGGAGCACGAAGGUCAGCUAAUCCUGGUCGGACAUCAGGAGGUUAGUGCAAUGGCAUAAGCUGGCUUGACUGCGAGCGUGACGGCGCGAGCAGGUGCGAAAGCAGGUCAUAGUGAUCCGGUGGUUCUGAAUGGAAGGGCCAUCGCUCAACGGAUAAAAGGUACUCCGGGGAUAACAGGCUGAUACCGCCCAAGAGUUCAUAUCGACGGCGGUGUUUGGCACCUCGAUGUCGGCUCAUCACAUCCUGGGGCUGAAGUAGGUCCCAAGGGUAUGGCUGUUCGCCAUUUAAAGUGGUACGCGAGCUGGGUUUAGAACGUCGUGAGACAGUUCGGUCCCUAUCUGCCGUGGGCGCUGGAGAAUUGAGGGGGGCUGCUCCUAGUACGAGAGGACCGGAGUGGACGCAUCACUGGUGUUCGGGUUGUCAUGCCAAUGGCAUUGCCCGGUAGCUAAAUGCGGAAGAGAUAAGUGCUGAAAGCAUCUAAGCACGAAACUUGCCCCGAGAUGAGUUCUCCCUGACCCUUUAAGGGUCCUGAAGGAACGUUGAAGACGACGACGUUGAUAGGCCGGGUGUGUAAGCGCAGCGAUGCGUUGAGCUAACCGGUACUAAUGAACCGUGAGGCUUAACCUUACAACGCCGAAG